Long non-coding RNA from Micropterus salmoides (largemouth bass), 1291 nucleotides. RefSeq lists it as uncharacterized. The record is from RefSeq and is a predicted model, not a curated record. The transcript is spliced from 4 exons. Lineage: Eukaryota; Metazoa; Chordata; Actinopteri; Centrarchiformes; Centrarchidae.
CUGUGAAGCCCAGAACAGAAGAGGACGUCAUAACUCCACCUUACAUCUGAUUGUUGUGGCAGGGAAUUCAACAAUGAUAUUGAAUAUCAUCAGGUUGACUCUGGUGGUCUUGAUGCUGAUUCCUCUGCUUCUCCUGAAUCUGUGGACGAGGAAGAAGAAAACUCGGAGCUCCACCUCUGAACCAAAUGAACAUGUAGAGACGAUAGAGAUGCAGCUGAACCAGACUCACCUCAUGGAAACAAAGUAGGACAUCAUUGAAAUAUCACUGUAGAGAGCGAGGCUGUGGAGGAAUCCAUUUGCCUUCAACUCCAAAAGUUUUCCUUUUCAGUUUUCAGUAGCAGCAGCAGGGUGGAGUCAGCAGCGCAGACAGCAGCAGCAUGUAGCAGAAAGUUUAGAAGAAGGUGGUGUUGGCAGGUUGAACUGAAUCAUGUCGACAUUUCAGACGUGAUUUAUUGUUUAGAUCAGGUUGUCUGUGACUUAAUGUCUUAACUUACUGCUUAAACAAUGUGAGCGUAUUAGUUCCAGUAGAGUUAAAUAUUAGUUUUAUUACAUAAUAUGAGGACCAAUAAACAUAAUAAAUAACUUUUGAAAAUUCCUCAUGAGCUUCUGGGUUUGCACCUGUCCUGGUUGACAAAGCCAAUAAAGUCUGUUCAAAACAGAGACAGUGAAUAAAAGCAUCAUGACAUUUUACUCAAUGUAGGGGUAAACCAGUGCGAAAGUAACAAGGCAAUUUUCUCAGAGCGAGUGUGACAGAACCUUGAGCACACAACCCUUGAUGGAGCCGCCAAAUAUUGCAUGAUUUUGUCAUUGAUUCCCGUGGCCGUCUUCGGAAAACUGUUUUCAAGCACGGCAAGUAAAUUUCUGAAGCAGUACUGUUUUUCGAAGUACAAGUUGUGUCUCUCAUUUCAUGUGUCACAGUAAUGAUUAAUCUACAGGUUAUUUAGUGCUUUAACACACCCUGAAGUUUGCCCUGUCAGAGUUUUUCAGUGUAAGAAUAAAUCGUGUUGAUAUGUCAGGAGUUCCUGUCGGGACGAAAGUAACUCAUUAAGCAACAGAUUAUGCCAAGAGUGAGGGUCAGAAAGACAGAGGUCUAAUUCAGCCAGAUGUUUUCAUGCACAUUUUGAAAUUACGUAUAAAAACAGCUGGAUAGAAAUAGACUAUGUUUGCAUUAUUUUGAGAAUUUAAAUUUAUGUUAUGAAUAUUCAUUUUCAUAUUGUUCAUAUUGUUGAAGAAAUGUUUUAUAAAAUGGAUUGACUUUGCCAAUAAAAAAGAUUUUGAACAAGUAUACGGU